Molecule: ribosomal RNA, 468 nt
Filed under: uncultured bacterium
Lineage: Bacteria
Description: partial 16S ribosomal RNA
Rfam family: Bacterial small subunit ribosomal RNA
Source: RNAcentral
GACGAACGCUGGCGGCGUGCUUAACACAUGCAAGUCGAACGGAAAGGCCCUGCUUUUGUGGGGUGCUCGAGUGGCGAACGGGUGAGUAACACGUGAGUAACCUGCCCUUGACUUUGGGAUAACUUCAGGAAACUGGGGCUAAUACCGGAUAGGAGCUCCUGCUGCAUGGUGUGGGUUGGAAAGUUUCGGCGGUUGGGGAUGGACUCGCGGCUUAUCAGCUUGUUGGUGGGGUAGUGGCUUACCAAGGCUUUGACGGGUAGCCGGCCUGAGAGGGUGACCGGCCACAUUGGGACUGAGAUACAGCCCAGACUCCUACGGGAGGCAGCAGUGGGGAAUAUUGCACAAUGGGCGGAAGCCUGAUGCAGCAACGCCGCGUGCGGGAUGACGGCCUUCGGGUUGUAAACCGCUUUCGCCUGUGACGAAGCGUGAGUGACGGUAAUGGGUAAAGAAGCACCGGCUAACUACGUG